Molecule: long non-coding RNA, 2070 nt
Organism: Herpailurus yagouaroundi (jaguarundi)
Lineage: Eukaryota; Metazoa; Chordata; Mammalia; Carnivora; Felidae
Exons: 2
Source: RefSeq, a predicted model, not a curated record
AUCUCUCCUCAUUUAUUUCCACUGUAAAACUGGAGAUGCUUUUUCUUACUCUGGAAAAAACUUCCAGGUCAUCAUUCCCACUAAGGAAGCAGUCAAUGGGGUCAUUACCCCUCCUGCUGAGUGUGACCUUGUACCAGAUAAGCCCUGAGAAUUCACCAGGUGUGCUGGCUUUCAGAAUUUUGCAAAGUUUUUCUGGAACCCCUGUUUCCCCUUUGCUGUGCUCUCCACUCACUGCUUAUUUCCAUGCUAUGUCUGUCGGUCUUACUACUGUGGAUCCUGGAGAUCUACAACAAAGCUUCAUGAAAUUGUACUUCAAUUUCUGUUAACCUAACCUUAACCUGUUAACUUUCUUUCAUUCUGUUAACCUAACCUUAACCUGCAAGACCUCAGUCUUGUAAAAUAAAUGUCCAAUAUUUCCAGUUCCAUGCACCUGAAAUUCUGCAUGAGGAAGUUCAUGACAUUGAUGAUUCUAGCAGAGUAGAUGAGAUUUCACAACCCAUGGACCCAGAGGUAUUACGUGCAACUCUAUUUCCCCAUAACUGGAUUCCCUCUCUAGCUUCCUCCCCUACCCGAUGGCAGAAAAGUUACUUCCAGGACAAUUCAGACAUGUCCGAGUUUUCAGACUUUUUCAAGUUCACAAUUCAAUUAAUUCAGCUUUGAGCUCUCCCUGCUUUCCCUAGGUGGGUCCAUACAAAGGGGGCUCAGCCGUGGGAGAGGACUCUUGCCCUUUGAACCUCUCUCUGUCUUAUGCUAGCUGAUGCUGAUAUGAGACCUGCUCCAUCCAGGCCACUAUGAUGAUUCCUUCCUUUGACAGCCUCCGCCAUCCUAAUCUCGGGUAUUGACAGACCGUGCUAGUUUUUUUCCUUAACCCCCAGGUCCCUUCGGGUCUCGGGCAACCCCUCUCCGGGGCACUGGCGCUAUGGGAUGCUCCCCAGGGGACGUUCCCAGCCUGGUCUUUCCAGUUUGGACAUUUCCCCCUUUACUGGCUCACCCUCCCCCAAGCUGGUGUCGUGUGGAAGGAAAUCAGGUCCGUGCACGCUUCCCAGGUCCUGCCAGGAAGGGGCCCAGGCUUCCUAAAGUUUUCCAGGAAAAGUCCUCCUCCCCCGCUACCCCCCAGCUCCGCCCUUCUGCGGGAGGGGGCAGCGUGGCUGGCUUUAAGCUUUAACUCUUCCGUCACAGCAGUGCUCCUUCUGUGUCUCACGCCAUCCGGAUCUCCGAUCUCCCGGGGGAGGAGGCGGUGGUGGGAGGGACACAACCUCUGCCUCAUCAUAUCUUUUUCAAAAUUUGUAUUUUGUUCGUCAGCACUGACCAAAUGGGUAUGCUUUGUUCUGAGUUCUUCUCCUGGAGGGUCCGUGACAAAUCUGAAUACGUCCAAGGAAACAAUUGGGUCAACGAAGGAGGCUUAUCUCGGAGAAGGAAAAACCUCUCAGCAUGGUGGAGAAUGAGGUAACAUGAAGAAGUCUCAGGAAAAGAGAUUGGAACAGAAGUGGAUUUGCUAUGGCUUUCAUGGAAUAGAAGCUUCUGGGCCCCUCACCUGCGCUAUCUUCUUUGAAGACUUCCACCUAAUAUCACGUUUAUCAUUGUUAUUCUUUUUUUUCUAAAGGAGAGCCCUCCCCCCACCCCAAGUUGAAUAAGAUCAGCUCCACUAAUUCUGGAUCCACCCCUGAGCUAGAAUUAAUCUACAUAAUUCCUUGGGACAAAACUAGGAUUAAUAGUAGAAAGUUACAAUGAGGCAAACAUUGCUCAAGAUCUGGAAAUUCUCCCAGUUAGAGCUAUUAAAAAUUGGGAUGGGCUGCAGAAAACCAGAAAGUACGUCAUUGGAUGCCUUGGGUAAAAGCGAAUGAGGCAGGGUUGUUGUAAGAGGGGCUGAUGAUCUCUCCCAACUCUAGGAAUCAAAGUCUCUGAGAUAAGCUACAGAGAGGGCACUGAGACAGCAUUUGCUUGCCUAUGUAUUAAUAGUAGGGACCCCAAGUCCAAUAGCAGGGACCCCCAAGUCCAGGCACGUAUAGUUUGCUAGGUUUAAGUCACUGUAUUAAAAAAAAAAAUAAUAAAAAUAUUCAGAAGCAUUCA